GCACCAGAGGGGGUGCACGGCUAUCAGAUUGGAGUGGGGUGGUCAGCAGAUCGUACCUGUCGUUUUCCCGUCGAGCGGUCAGCGGCUGAGUAGUUUCGGGGCCAUCUACGUUCAGAGGGCGUAUCCUACUAGAGACAGUACCUAAUUCCUCAUCACCUAGCAUGAGCAAAGUGGGGGCUCUUCCGCCCUCAACCUAUAUGAUGUCCCCACAUGGAAUUAGCUAGUACGUGAGGUAAUCGCUCACCUAGGCGCACAUCUCAAGUUGGUCUGAGAGGACGGCCAGUCACACAUGAUCAGAAAAGCGGUCCACAAUCUGAAUAUAGCCAGCAGGGGUGAAUAUUGCACAAAGGAAGCAAGCGUGAUGCAACCAUGCUGCGUGUGUGAAGAAGCCCUUAUCUUUGAAAUCCACUUUCACACAUGAGAAAGGGUAUCAUCCCUAAGAACCGUUGUUAUCUUGUUACUACAACAGUACUGAGGUCCAUCAGCGCCGCCAUCCAGCUGUCGUAAUACUAACGGUGCAAGGUUGAAUCGGAUUAAGUUGACAUACAGGGCGCGCAGCCGGUCUACCAUGUGAGAUGAGUUAUCAUGGAGCUUAAAUUGAUUCUGAACGGUGAAAGCGACACGCUCGAGUCUUGUAGAAUUCUGUAUGAGUCCUGGUGUAGGAUCGACCGGAGUAGAGAUCUGGAGGAACACCGGUGCCGAAGGCAGCCCCCUGGACUUCGACUGACGCUCAGGUGGGAAAGCGUGGGGAGCAAACGGG
Molecule: ribosomal RNA, 760 nt
Filed under: uncultured Actinomyces sp.
Lineage: Bacteria; Bacillati; Actinomycetota; Actinomycetes; Actinomycetales; Actinomycetaceae
Description: bacterial SSU rRNA
Rfam family: Bacterial small subunit ribosomal RNA
Source: RNAcentral